Molecule: unclassified non-coding RNA, 339 nt
Filed under: Zea mays
Lineage: Eukaryota; Viridiplantae; Streptophyta; Magnoliopsida; Poales; Poaceae
Description: misc RNA Zm00001eb246890
Source: RNAcentral
CUAGUUCCUCCAUUAACAAAAAGAAGAAGAAGAAGCCCCAUAUACUACUGCUACUCAAUCCAUCGGUGCACCUAGAGCUCGGGUCCAUGUCCAUGACUCCUCGUUACAUCUACGCCCACGGGCCGGACGGGAGCUACUCCUUAAACAUCCAGCUCACCGCGCUACCGUGCCCCGGCAUGGCGCUCCACCUCAACACCGUCAUCGACCUCACCGUAGACAAUUACUGGCUGUUCCGCAUCCCGCCCAUCACCAUCGACUUCCUCAACAAGCUGCCGCAGCAGAGCGAGGCCCCGACGCCGGCAUCAGCCGUUACCACCCAGCUUACCCGCCGCUUCACGU